UCGGAUGCGAAACGGUGGUGU
Molecule: microRNA, 21 nt
Filed under: Arabidopsis thaliana (thale cress)
Lineage: Eukaryota; Viridiplantae; Streptophyta; Magnoliopsida; Brassicales; Brassicaceae
Description: ath-miR4228-3p
Source: miRBase by way of RNAcentral